RNAcentral lists this small RNA (30 nucleotides) under Bombyx mori (domestic silkworm). RNAcentral's name for it is "ovarian small RNA-21493". Lineage: Eukaryota; Metazoa; Arthropoda; Insecta; Lepidoptera; Bombycidae. The record is from RNAcentral.
UACUGCAUCCGAGCGCUCGAGGGCGCACUC